RNAcentral lists this ribosomal RNA (461 nucleotides) under uncultured bacterium. Its description in RNAcentral is "partial 16S ribosomal RNA". It matches the Rfam family "Bacterial small subunit ribosomal RNA", at positions 338 to 795 of the family's 1533-position model. The record is from RNAcentral.
CCUACGGGAGGCAGCAGUGAGGAAUAUUGGUCAAUGGGCUUACGCCUGAACCAGCCAAGUAGCGUGAGGGAAGACUGCCCUAUGGGUUGUAAACCUCUUUUGUCAGGGAGUAAUUGGCGCUACGUGUGGGGUUAUCUAUGGUACCUGAAGAAAAAGCAUCGGCUAACUCCGUGCCAGCAGCCGCGGGAAUACGGAGGAUGCGAGCGUUAUCCGGAGUUAUUGGGUUUAAAGGGAGCGUAGGGGGAUUGUUAAGUCAGUGGUGAAAGUUUGCGGCUCAACCGUAAAAUUGCAGUUGAAACUGGCAGUCUUGAGUACAGUAGAGGUGGGCGGAAUGCGUGGUGUAGCGGUGAAAUGCUUAGAUAUCACGAAGAACUCCGAUUGCGAAGGCAGCUCACUGGACUGCAACUGACACUGAGGCUCGAAAGUGUGGGUAUCAAACAGGAUUAGAUACCCUGGUAGUC